RNAcentral lists this ribosomal RNA (484 nucleotides) under uncultured bacterium. RNAcentral describes it as "partial 16S ribosomal RNA". It matches the Rfam family "Bacterial small subunit ribosomal RNA", at positions 30 to 507 of the family's 1533-position model. The record is from RNAcentral.
AUUGAACGCUGGCGGCAGGCCUAACACAUGCAAGUCGAGCGGAUGAAGGGAGCUUGCUCCUGGAUUCAGCGGCGGACGGGUGAGUAAUGCCUAGGAAUCUGCCUGGUAGUGGGGGAUAACGUCCGGAAACGGGCGCUAAUACCGCAUACGUCCUGAGGGAGAAAGUGGGGGAUCUUCGGACCUCACGCUAUCAGAUGAGCCUAGGUCGGAUUAGCUAGUUGGUGGGGUAAAGGCCUACCAAGGCGACGAUCCGUAACUGGUCUGAGAGGAUGAUCAGUCACACUGGAACUGAGACACGGUCCAGACUCCUACGGGAGGCAGCAGUGGGGAAUAUUGGACAAUGGGCGAAAGCCUGAUCCAGCCAUGCCGCGUGUGUGAAGAAGGUCUUCGGAUUGUAAAGCACUUUAAGUUGGGAGGAAGGGUAGUAAGUUAACACCUUGCUGUUUUGACGUUACCAACAGAAUAAGCACCGGCUAACUUCGUG